CUAUUAUAUUUAUGUGUUAUGGUAAAGAAAAUUAAUCACCGCAUUCAUUUAUUAGGUCUUUCCACUUUUCCGUGGAAAGACCUAUUGGUUUUCUUCUGAUUAUUAUUUUUUUUUUCUUCCGCCUAAUUUUUUUCCUUCGCUGUUUUUUUGUUUCACAAGAUGUCGAUUUGAUAUUUAGAAUAUGAUAUUGAACAGUUUAUACGCUUUUGAAACCAACUCUGCUUAACCGAAUACUUUCCCAUAUAAGAGUUAUCUCCCUGAACACUGUUUUUCUUGUUAUCGCUAAGGCUUCGCAACCGUAUAAGAAACCGACAAAUUUAUUUUUCCAAAUUGCUCGUUAUAUCCUAAGGAUGUUCUGUUUUAUUUUGACCGAAGCCGUAUCGAGAUUCCAUAUGAGAGUUAUUUCCCCUUUUGUAUUUGAAAUUUUGAAAUGUAUUUUAAACUGGAAAACCAUAAGUGAUAGAGACCUAGGGUCUUUUGAUUUGAGAUCCUUGGUCCAAAAAAAUGAAAAUUAGAUCAAGGUCAAAGGUCAAGGUCAUAUUCUAAAUUUUGAUUUUGGCUUAUUUUCACUCAUUUUCAUUAACCUUAUAAGAUAUCGACAAAUUAUUUUUACUAAAUUGUUAGUUGCGACAUGUCGUAACUUAAUAAUUUUGGUUGAAAGGGUGCGUAGUGAAUAAAUGGGAGUUUUAGCCCCUAUCAUAUCUAAAAUUAUGCGUAAAGUGAUAUAACUUAUUAACCAUACAUAUUAGAGACCUAGGGUCUUUUGAUUUGAGAUCCUUGGUCCAACAAAAUGAAAAUUAGGUCAAGGUCAAAGGUCAAGGUCAUAUUCUGAAUUUUGAUUUUGGCUUAUUUUCACUCAUUUUCAUUAACCUUAUAAGAUAUCAACAAAUUAUUUUUACUAAAUUGUUAGUUGCGACAUGUCGUAACUUAAUAAUUUUGGUUGAAAGGGUGCGUAGUUAAUAAACGGGAGUUUUAGCCCCUAUCAUAUCUAAAAUUAUGUGUAAAGUGAUAUAACUUAUUUACCAUACAUAUUAGAGACCUAGGGUCUUUUGAUUUGAGAUCCUCAGUUUUUGACCUUGAAAUUGAGGUCAAAGUCAUAGGUAAAUUUGACGUUCUAGAUUAUGACCUUUGCUUAAAAUUCAUAUCUAUACAUCACAAUGCGAUAGGAACUGACAUUUUAGACUGAUUUUUAAUAAUUUAAUAUCAAAAUAGAUACUUACAGG
RNAcentral lists this long non-coding RNA (1223 nucleotides) under Mytilus galloprovincialis (Mediterranean mussel). The record is from RNAcentral. Lineage: Eukaryota; Metazoa; Mollusca; Bivalvia; Mytilida; Mytilidae.